UACAGAGGUCCCAAGCGUUACUGAGAAUCACUGGGUUUAAAGGGUGCGUAGGUGGUCCGUUAAGUCAAUUGUGAAAUCCCCGGGCUCAACCCGGGAACUGCUUCUGAUACUGGCGGACUUGAGGCCAGUAGGGGUCACUAGAACUGACGGUGGAGCGGUGAAAUGCGUAGAUAUCGUCAGGAAUGCCGGUGGUGAAGACGGGUGACUGGGCUGGUUCUGACACUGAGGCACGAAAGCGUGGGGAGCGAACAGG
RNAcentral lists this ribosomal RNA (253 nucleotides) under uncultured bacterium. Its description in RNAcentral is "partial 16S ribosomal RNA". It matches the Rfam family "Bacterial small subunit ribosomal RNA", at positions 524 to 776 of the family's 1533-position model. The record is from RNAcentral.